UACGUAGGGCGCAAGCGUUAUCCGGAAUUAUUGGGCGUAAAGAGCUCGUAGGCGGUUUGUCGCGUCUGCCGUGAAAGUCCGGGGCUCAACUCCGGAUCUGCGGUGGGUACGGGCAGACUAGAGUGAUGUAGGGGAGACUGGAAUUCCUGGUGUAGCGGUGAAAUGCGUAGAGAUCAGGAAGAACACCGAUGGCGAAGGCAGGUCUCUGGGCAUUAACUGACGCUGAGGAGCGAAAGCAUGGGGAGCGAACAGG
RNAcentral lists this ribosomal RNA (253 nucleotides) under uncultured bacterium. RNAcentral describes it as "partial 16S ribosomal RNA". It matches the Rfam family "Bacterial small subunit ribosomal RNA", at positions 524 to 776 of the family's 1533-position model. The record is from RNAcentral.